AAUAAUAAACAAGUAUUUCUUUAUUCUAUAUGGUGAAAACUGAGCUUUCUUUUGGGGAUUGGAGAUUGGAUAGUGAUGAAUAUGAAGAAGCAAAAGCUUGGACAUGCUGCAACUGGGUUGAGGGUGAAACAUAAAGAGUACUAUACUAUGUGUGCCAGUUGAGGAAAUUUUGGAAUUGUAUGGCAGUGUUCUGACUCAAAAUGCUCUCUUUCUUUUUUCUUUUUGGGUUUGCAGCUGAAAAUGGUGACUGUUGUUUGCUUUUAUUCAAACUACAGACCAACCAACUGGGAGUGAAACAUUAAACUGCCAAUACAAUAUUGGUCCAGAAGAUUAUGCACAUGUCCAAACCGACCACCUCUGGUAAGUAGAAGAUUUUGGCUCUGUUCUUCUCUGAGUUUGUACUGUUUUGAAAUUUGAAUUUUAGAAUGAGGAGAAUGGACUUUGUUAGUGUAAUGAGUCAUUAGUAUAAGAGGUCAAAAUUUUGAAUCUAUGCCGGGCCUCACUCACUCCACAGGACUGUUGAAUUUAUUGUUUAGGGUAAUUGGAACAUAGGCUCGACUUAUUGGUUUUAGGUUAUGGAUUCAUGUACUUGACAAGAAAUGGUCUUUUCCAUUUUUUGUUUGAGUUCACCUAUGGUGGAUUCAAAUCUCACUCACUAAAAUGAACAUAUGGGUAGGCUGUAGCUGUACAAUGCCUUAGAGUGAACUUAAAGGGUAAGAUUGGUGGUGGUACAGGCUACAAAUGAGCUGCUUGUGGUGGUAGGGUAAGGGCAGAGGUGGUACCUGGGCCUGUCUUUGACAUUUGAUCAUUUGGGCUUUCUUUUGGGUGUAGAAACCCUUAAAUAUUUGAUCAUUUCCUUUUCUUUUUUGGGAAAUGUUUCAUCAUUAGUUACCAUGGCAAUCAAUGUUGAUUAUUACCUCUACCAUCUGCCUUUUUCAAAACAAAAAAAAUAAUUAGGUUCAUCCCCACUGGCCACUGCAUCAAUCUUGAUGGCCCUUUCACUCACACCCUUCCAUCACUAUUACAUUAAAUUGAAAGUGAAAUGAAUAAAGACAAAGAUGCAUUCAAAUUGUACUCUUUUUUUUUAAUUUUUUUUUGUUAAGUUGGAUUGGGAACAAAAGAAAGGGAAAUAUAUUUUGUGUUCUUCAAAUUCUACAACAAAUGCAAGAAGAAGAUUCAAAUAUUUAUAUCUUAAUUGAUAGUAUAUUUUUUUAACCAAUUCAAGUACAUUCAAAUUAGUAAUAGGAAAAGAGGAAGAUAUAAAUGCAAAAUUAUGUUACUAUGGUCAAGUUACUUCAGUUUUAGAUUUUGAAUAAAAAAGAAAAAGGGGACUAAUUGAGAGUUGGGUUACAAGAUAUAAGUUAAUUUCAAUGUUAAAAUAAUCAUUUUUUUCUGCCAUAAGCAUUCAUGCUGAGUAACAAUUUAAACUUUCCUUUAUAACAACUUAUUUUCUCUAUCCAUAAAAUAAGAUUAAUUUAGAGAUUAUGCUUUAGAUAAUUUAGUUUUUAUUGUAAAAAAAUAAUAUUAAAAGUAUAAGAAAUUGGUUAAAUGUGAAACUUGUUUAAAAAUUAUAAAUACUAAGUCAUUAUAUAAUCAAUACGAAGUUUUAAAAGAUAGAGACUUCAUCACUUCAAUUGUUACAAAUUUAUAUUAAAUUUGUGGAAAUUUAAAUAGUAUAAAUUUGAAAGUAUAGGUACUAAAUUGGUAAGGGCUAAAGUUUAAGAACUAAGAGAAAGAUUAAAUUGUUAUAAAGAGUUGGUGAGGGUAAGCAUUAAUUUGUGUUUGGCAGGAAUCCAUGGGAUUGUUUUGAAUGCAGAAUGUUGUGUUUGGAAAUGGAGAAGGGGAGAAUGAAUUGAUUGUUAUUAUAAAAAAAUCACAUUCUCUUGCUGCUGUUAUAAGGAAAAUGGCUAUGACGACUAUGGGAAAUAUGGUGGGUUUUUCUCUUUUUUUUUUUCUUUUUUUUUUUCUGGAGAAAAUUGAAGUUGAAGAGGAAAUCUGGGUUAAAGUUAAUUUGAGAUUGGUGGUUAAAGUUAAGAAUCGGAUCUAUGAAUGAAGGAGAAGUGGUUUGAUGAAAGAGGGGGGUAGCUAAAGAUGAACAAAG
RNAcentral lists this long non-coding RNA (2101 nucleotides) under Cucumis sativus (cucumber). RNAcentral's name for it is "long non-coding RNA (CSAT_LNC000361)". Lineage: Eukaryota; Viridiplantae; Streptophyta; Magnoliopsida; Cucurbitales; Cucurbitaceae. The record is from RNAcentral.